RNAcentral lists this ribosomal RNA (201 nucleotides) under Conticribra weissflogii. RNAcentral's name for it is "partial Bacterial large subunit ribosomal RNA". It matches the Rfam family "Bacterial large subunit ribosomal RNA", at positions 494 to 700 of the family's 2925-position model. Lineage: Eukaryota; Bacillariophyta; Thalassiosirophyceae; Thalassiosirales; Thalassiosiraceae. The record is from RNAcentral.
ACCAGUACCGUGAGGGAAAGGCGAAAAGAACCCCGGGAGGGGAGUGAAAUAGAUCCUGAAACCGUGUGCUUACAAAAAGUAGGAGCCUCGUAAGGGGUGACUGCGUACCUUUUGUAUAAUGGGUCAGCGACUUAUUUUCAGUGGCGAGCUUAACCGAAUAGGGGAGGCGUAGCGAAAGCGAGUCUUAAUAGGGCGUCUAGU